GGUUUUUUGAAUAUAAUUUAAAAUCAGGCCUGCCCACUGAUAUUAUUAAAUGGCCGCGGUAUUUUGACCGUGCAAAGGUAGCAUAAUCAUUAGUUUUUUAAUUGAAAGCUGGAAUGAAUGGUUUAAUGAGAAAAUAGCUGUCUCAAUUUAAUUUUAUUAAAAUUUUAUAUUUAAGUUAAAAAGCUUAAAUUAUCUUAAAAGACGAGAAGACCCUAUAGAGUUUUAUAUUAAAUAAAAUUAAAAGAUUAGGAUUAAGGUAUUUUAAUUUAAUUUAAUAUUUAAUUGGGGUGAUUAAAAAAUUUAUUAAACUUUUUUUUUAUUUUUACAUUAAUUAGUGAAUAUUUGAUCCAUUUUUUAUGAUUAUAAGAUUAAAUUACCUUAGGGAUAACAGCGUAAUUUUUUUUAAGAGUUCUUAUCGAAAAAAGAGAUUGCGACCUCGAUGUUGGAUUAAAAUUAAUAUUAGGUGUAGAAGCUUAAUAAUUAGGUCUGUUCGACCUUUAAAAUUUUACA
Molecule: ribosomal RNA, 510 nt
Filed under: Dastarcus helophoroides
Lineage: Eukaryota; Metazoa; Arthropoda; Insecta; Coleoptera; Bothrideridae
Description: partial 16S ribosomal RNA
Rfam family: Bacterial large subunit ribosomal RNA (bases 384-510)
Source: RNAcentral